Molecule: microRNA precursor, 98 nt
Filed under: Capitella teleta
Lineage: Eukaryota; Metazoa; Annelida; Polychaeta; Capitellidae
Description: microRNA cte-mir-8 precursor
Gene: cte-mir-8
Rfam family: mir-8/mir-141/mir-200 microRNA precursor family (bases 17-85)
About the family: The bounds of the precursors are predicted based on conservation and base pairing and are not generally known.
Source: miRBase by way of RNAcentral
GCCAGCCGCGGGUUGUGUGGACAUCUUACCCGGCGGCAUUAGAUUGACCGGCUCUCUUCUAAUACUGUCAGGUAAAGAUGUCUCCACGACUCCAUGUC